This 763-nucleotide ribosomal RNA is filed under the name uncultured Streptococcus sp. RNAcentral describes it as "bacterial SSU rRNA". It matches the Rfam family "Bacterial small subunit ribosomal RNA", at positions 28 to 776 of the family's 1533-position model. The record is from RNAcentral. Lineage: Bacteria; Bacillati; Bacillota; Bacilli; Lactobacillales; Streptococcaceae.
GACGAACGCUGGCGGCGUGCCUAAUACAUGCAAGUAGAACGCUGAAGGAGGAGCUUGCUCUUCUGGAUGAGUUGCGAACGGGUGAGUAACGCGUAGGUAACCUGCCUGGUAGCGGGGGAUAACUAUUGGAAACGAUAGCUAAUACCGCAUAAGAGUAGAUGUUGCAUGACAUUUGCUUAAAAGGUGCAAUUGCAUCACUACCAGAUGGACCUGCGUUGUAUUAGCUAGUUGGUGAGGUAACGGCUCACCAAGGCAACGAUACAUAGCCGACCUGAGAGGGUGAUCGGCCACACUGGGACUGAGACACGGCCCAGACUCCUACGGGAGGCAGCAGUAGGGAAUCUUCGGCAAUGGACGGGAGUCUGACCGAGCAACGCCGCGUGAGCGAAGAGGGUUUUCGGAUCGUAAAGCUCUGUUGUAAGAGAAGAACGAGUGUGAGAGUGGAAAGUUCACACUGUGACGGUAUCUUACCAGAAAGGGACGGCUAACUACGUGCCAGCAGCCGCGGUAAUACGUAGGUCCCGAGCGUUGUCCGGAUUUAUUGGGCGUAAAGCGAGCGCAGGCGGUUAGAUAAGUCUGAAGUUAAAGGCUGUGGCUUAACCAUAGUACGCUUUGGAAACUGUUUAACUUGAGUGCAAGAGGGGAGAGUGGAGUUCCAUGUGUAGCGGUGAAAUGCGUAGAUAUAUGGAGGAACACCGGUGGCGAAAGCGGCUCUCUGGCUUGUAACUGACGCUGAGGCUCGAAAGCGUGGGGAGCAAACAGG